Ziziphus jujuba (common jujube) is the source of this 1609-nucleotide RNA transcript. RefSeq lists it as uncharacterized. The transcript is spliced from 10 exons. The record is from RefSeq and is a predicted model, not a curated record. NCBI's taxonomy places the organism in Eukaryota, Viridiplantae, Streptophyta, Magnoliopsida, Rosales, Rhamnaceae.
AUUAUCUCAAAAAAAAAAAAAAAAAAAAUUUGGAAUAUGGACCUUAAUACAUAAAAGUUGUCCAAUAUUCCAUACACUCACAAGUCACACCUUUUCUUUGAUUCUCCAAGUCAAUUUUUUUUUUUUUUUCCUUUUAAUUAUUCCAUAAAACCCACUCAUUUCUUGUGUUUUGCAGUUGUUCUCACCCGCCCAAGCAAAUUCCAGGUUUUGCUAGCUGUAGGGUGCUCUGUCACUUUGCCUUUAUUAUAUGAAUGGGGAGCGGCUACUUGGGUCUUCAUCGUUUAUCAAUUCUAACCCAUCAACAAGUAGUUUUACCUAGUUGCCAUAAAGUACUUUUAAAGUUCCAUACUUUAGCUGCAGUUGGGAAUGUUGCUACCGUUGCACCCUUCACAGCCUCCUUCAAGAGGUAUGAUGGCUGUUGCUUAUGCUCGAGAGCUUGCCGCAGCAUGUCAAACCUGAUAAUAAGAUGUUGCUCCACCAAUGCAUUUGUCAUUGCUAACGAUGAGAAGUAUGGGAAUAAACAGAUUAUUAGUAUUAAUCCACACCUUUAUGAUUACAUCCUUGCCAAUGUCAGAGAGCCAGAGAUUCUUCGACAACUCCGUGAGGAGACUGCUUCCUUGCACGGUAGUCAGAUGCAGGUGAUGGUUUUGGCAUUGCUUAGGGCAUACCACGAAUUGGUCGUUGAUACUUUGCAACUGCUUUCUAUACUUUCCAAUGUGUCUCCCGAUCAGGCACAACUGCUUGCAAUGCUUGUGCAGAUCCUUGGUGCAGAGAGGUGUAUUGAAGUUGGUGUUUACACAGGUUAUUCGUCAUUGGCUGUUGCAAUGGUCCUACCUGAUUCAGGUCUCUUAGUCGCCUGUGAAAGAGAUGCCAAAUGUCUUGAUGUUGCAAGGAAGUAUUAUGAUCUAGCCAAUGUUUCCCACAAGGUGAAUAUUAAACAUGGCCUUGCAGCAGAUGCUCUAAAAUCAAUGAUUUUAAAUGGUGAAGCAGGCAGCUAUGAUUUUGCAUUCGUUGAUGCUGAAAAAAGGAUGUAUCAGGAAUAUUAUGAAUUGUUACUACAACUGAUUUCAUCAUUUUUCAGGUGAAGGUUGGAGGUCUCAUUGUGAUAGACAAUGUUCUUUGGCAUGGAAAAGUUGCUGAUCCAAUGGUGAAUAACUACAAAUUGUAGAAUUCUCUCCUUUCAAAAUGAAGCAUCAUUUCUUAGAUGGUAUUUUCUGAGCAGGUGAAUGAUGCAAAGACUGUUAGCAUAAGGAAUUUCAACAAGAACAUAAUGGAGGACCAGCGAGUAAGCAUUAGUAUGGUACCUAUUGGAGAUGGCAUGACAAUAUGCCGAAAGAAAUGAACUUGUAACCGAAGUUUAUAAACUCACUAAAGCAACGGGGUCUCAUAAAAUUAUUCAAACUGAUAUUAUCCAUGGCUGGAAAUCUUAGAUGUUAGGUAAUUUAGUUGUUAUCAGUAAGCUGGACAGAAUUGUAGAACCUGAAAAUAGGCUAGGGUAGCAGCAAUGGCUUUAUACUUUAAGAAUGGUUUUUCAUACUUGUAACAUUUUUAUUUUUUGGACAUAUGUUAAAGUGGGGGAGAAGUUUAUUUAUUUAUUUUUUUUUUUUUA